GCGAUGGUGGUAUAGUGGUGAGCAUACGGUAGCUGCCUCCCAAGCAGUUGACCUGGGUUUGACUCGUGGCCAUCACA
Molecule: non-coding RNA, 77 nt
Organism: Caranx melampygus (bluefin trevally)
Lineage: Eukaryota; Metazoa; Chordata; Actinopteri; Carangiformes; Carangidae
Source: the annotation of a GenBank genome assembly